AUAAGCGGAGGAAAAGAAACUAACAAGGAUUCCCCUAGUAACGGCGAGUGAAGCGGGAAGAGCUCAAAUUUGAAAUCUGGUAGCCUUCGGUUGCCCGAGUUGUAAUCUAGAGAAGUGUUUUCCGUGCCGGCCCAUGUACAAGUCCCUUGGAACAGGGCGUCAUAGAGGGUGAGAAUCCCGUCCUUGACAUGGACCCCCGGUGCUUUGUGAUACACUUUCAACGAGUCGAGUUGUUUGGGAAUGCAGCUCAAAAUGGGUGGUGAAUUCCAUCUAAAGCUAAAUAUUGGCGAGAGACCGAUAGCGAACAAGUACCGUGAGGGAAAGAUGAAAAGCACUUUGGAAAGAGAGUUAAACAGUACGUGAAAUUGUUGAAAGGGAAACGAUUGAAGUCAGUCAUGCUCUUGGGACUUACCUCCCUUGAGUGGGGUCAACAUCAGUUUUGAUCGAUGGAUAAAGGCACGGGGAAGGUAGCACUCUCGGGUGAACUUAUAGCCUCGCGUCAUAUACAUUGAUUGGGACUGAGGAACGCAGCAUGCCUUAUGGCCGGGAUUCGUCCACGUACAUGCUUAGGAUCAUGACAUAAUGGCUUUAAACGACCCGUCUUGAAAC
This 609-nucleotide ribosomal RNA is filed under the name Naganishia albida. RNAcentral describes it as "eukaryotic LSU rRNA". It matches the Rfam family "Eukaryotic large subunit ribosomal RNA", at positions 46 to 660 of the family's 3401-position model. The record is from RNAcentral. Lineage: Eukaryota; Fungi; Basidiomycota; Tremellomycetes; Filobasidiales; Filobasidiaceae.